UCUCUGGUGGACUAGCGGCUAGCAUGCGGCACUCUCACUGCCGCGGCCUGGGUUUGAUUCCCGGUCAGUGAA
This 72-nucleotide transfer RNA is filed under the name Pangasianodon hypophthalmus (striped catfish). RNAcentral describes it as "tRNA-Glu". The record is from RNAcentral. Lineage: Eukaryota; Metazoa; Chordata; Actinopteri; Siluriformes; Pangasiidae.